GGCGUGCCUAAUACAUGCAAGUCGAGCGGACAGAUGGGAGCUUGCUCCCUGAUGUUAGCGGCGGACGGGUGAGUAACACGUGGGUAACCUGCCUGUAAGACUGGGAUAACUCCGGGAAACCGGGGCUAAUACCGGAUGCUUGAUUGAACCGCAUGGUUCAAUUAUAAAAGGUGGCUUUUAGCUACCACUUACAGAUGGACCCGCGGCGCAUUAGCUAGUUGGUGAGGUAACGGCUCACCAAGGCGACGAUGCGUAGCCAACCUGAGAGGGUGAUCGGCCACACUGGGACUGAGACACGGCCCAGACUCCUACGGGAGGCAGCAGUAGGGAAUCUUCCGCAAUGGACGAAAGUCUGACGGAGCAACGCCGCGUGAGUGAUGAAGGUUUUCGGAUCGUAAAACUCUGUUGUUAGGGAAGAACAAGUACCGUUCGAAUAGGGCGGUACCUUGACGGUACCUAACCAGAAAGCCACGGCUAACUACGUGCCAGCAGCCGCGGUAAUACGUAGGUGGCAAGCGUUGUCCGGAAUUAUUGGGCGUAAAGCGCGCGCAGGCGGUUUCUUAAGUCUGAUGUGAAAGCCCCCGGCUCAACCGGGGAGGGUCAUUGGAAACUGGGGAACUUGAGUGCAGA
This 630-nucleotide ribosomal RNA is filed under the name Bacillus sp. (in: firmicutes). RNAcentral's name for it is "bacterial SSU rRNA". It matches the Rfam family "Bacterial small subunit ribosomal RNA", at positions 41 to 652 of the family's 1533-position model. The record is from RNAcentral. Lineage: Bacteria; Bacillati; Bacillota; Bacilli; Caryophanales; Bacillaceae.